RNAcentral lists this ribosomal RNA (643 nucleotides) under uncultured bacterium. Its description in RNAcentral is "bacterial SSU rRNA". It matches the Rfam family "Bacterial small subunit ribosomal RNA", at positions 232 to 885 of the family's 1533-position model. The record is from RNAcentral.
CGCGGCCUAUCAGCUUGUUGGUGAGGUAAUGGCUCACCAAGGCUUCGACGGGUAGCCGGCCUGAGAGGGCGACCGGCCACACUGGGACUGAGAUACGGCCCAGACUCCUACGGGAGGCAGCAGUGGGGAAUAUUGCACAAUGGGCGCAAGCCUGAUGCAGCAACGCCGCGUGCGGGAUGACGGCCUUCGGGUUGUAAACCGCUUUCAGUAGGGACGAAGCUAACGUGACGGUACCUACAGAAGAAGGACCGGCUAACUACGUGCCAGCAGCCGCGGUGAUACGUAGGGUCCGAGCGUUGUCCGGAAUUAUUGGGCGUAAAGGGCUUGUAGGCGGUCCGUCGCGUCAGGAGUGAAAACUCGGGGCUUAACCCCGAGCCUGCUUUUGACACGGGCGGACUAGAGGGAUGCAGGGGAGAACGGAAUUCCUGGUGGAGCGGUGGAAUGCGCAGAUAUCAGGAGGAACACCGGUGGCGAAGGCGGUUCUCUGGGCAUCACCUGACGCUGAGAAGCGAAAGCGUGGGGAGCAAACAGGCUUAGAUACCCUGGUAGUCCACGCCGUAAACGGUGGGCACUAGGUGUGGGGGACAUUCCACGUUCUCCGUGCCGAAGCUAACGCAUUAAGUGCCCCGCCUGGGGAGUACGG